AAAUGUGCUCAUCACGAGUUUUGUUUUCAGCUGGCUUUGAUUUUUUAUCUCAGAUUACGAGUUUUGUCUGUAUUGAAUCGGGGGUUUUAAUUUGUAUUAUGGUUUGAGAGGGAUGCUUAGAUUGCUGAACCCCAUGUAGUUAAAUAGUGAGAUCAAAACUUAAUUCAUGUUCAAUCCCAAGCAGAGUUACAAAACUGCAUGGUAAGAAAAUACUUACUGAUGAGUUGAAUCAAGUGGGUGAUAGCUGAAGAUUCAUAAAAAAAAAAAAGCAACCGUCUGUGGAUAAAGGCAUUCAUACCAUAGAAGUUAUAGAGAAACUCUCAGCAAUGAACAAGCCCUCAAUUGGAGAUAAUUCACAAUUGCGACGGUGUCAUGUGAUGGACCUCUAAUAAGUAAAUUCACAUGCCCCUUUGUCAGUCUCCAGAAGACACAUAGGCAUCGGAAGAAAUGGCUCAAUACCAUAGAGGUUAACCUGUCUCUGCCGAUUAAUUUUAGUGGUGGGUUUACACGUUCACAAAAGAAUGAUAAGAAAUCUGAAUAGUAGUAAAUGUUCGUACAUAUGCUUUUGAUUAUUGACUGGCUGAAUAUAAGAAAAUGUAUUACAUUUUCAGGGCUCUAAAUGUUUACUUCAACAACCUUACCGAAGUCAACCUUGAUUUGGAGCUGACAAGAAGGUGGAGAAUAACUUCCAGUAGCUGUGGCCGUGAAGUCGCAUUACUUGGUUGUUACAAUGCGAGUUGCAAGAAUACAUAUGCAAAACUGAUGCCAGGAUGUAGAUGGGACAAUAUGCAUCCUAUAAGUUUCCCUGUGAAGAGACUAAUCCAAAAGAAGAAAAAUGCAAGCGUAUUCCCACUAAAUGGUAUUGUCAUUUUCAUUUGUUGGUAGGAAUUAUGAGGAGAUUCUUUUUUUUUUUAAAUACAGUACUUACAAUAACUUUAUCUAUCUAUGUAUCUUCUCUAGGCCACUAACACUCUCUACCUAAUGAAGUAUUCUAACAUCAUUGAGCAAGCAUUUUCACGGAUUACCCAUGAAAUUGGUUCUAUGUUGUUCAGGACUUACCGAUGAAUGAGUAUGUAUACUUCUUUUUACCCUUUUGUUUCAUGAAAACCUUGACUUUGAAAAACAAAUUACAUGCAUGGAUGGCUUUGGGUUACAUGGUGUGAUUUCGGAAUUUUCUGAACUGUCUGGAGUUACCAGCCAAUAACACAAAUCAUUGGCACGACCCAAUGAAAAUGGAGUCUGCAAAAGAACCCUCAAGUUCAUGAUGGGGGUCUUGGAGGGGAAAUGGAUUCUAAGCAUAUAUUGUAAGUAUUAUAAUUCUAUCAGGAAGAAAACAUGUGUGGUGCGGUUGAUGAAAUCAAAAAUUGGUCAAACUGUAUGUAUAUCUUUUCUUUCAGGGAUCAAGGCAUGCAUGAAAAACACAAAAUGUGUAACCCAGCCAUAUAGAUUUCCAUAGAUGUUUAUGCAACGCGACAAAUACCUUAUAUUGGAAGACAGAGCUUUGAACAAGGAUAGCUUCGUUUCUCUCUCUCUCUCU
Molecule: long non-coding RNA, 1537 nt
Organism: Brassica napus (rape)
Lineage: Eukaryota; Viridiplantae; Streptophyta; Magnoliopsida; Brassicales; Brassicaceae
Exons: 3
Source: RefSeq, a predicted model, not a curated record